Rattus norvegicus (Norway rat) is the source of this 8091-nucleotide non-coding RNA. The record is from RefSeq and is a predicted model, not a curated record. Lineage: Eukaryota; Metazoa; Chordata; Mammalia; Rodentia; Muridae.
ACAAUUUUUUAAAAAAAGAAUUAUAUUCAAUGCCUUAUGCAGAUGGGAAAGCACACUGACACUGAAUGUACUAUGGCCCAUUUUGAGGUCUUUACCGUGAUGUUAUUAAGGCAUAGGGGUUUACUUUUCAUAGGUUUUGAAUUUUAAUUAUUUGUUAAAAAAUUCAUCCAAUAUGGUCUGAAUAUUCAUUUAAAAGCAUUGUAGCUAGAUAGGAGAGUAUUUAUCUAGCAUACAUGAGGCCCUGGGGUCAAUCCCUUGUACUAAAAAUCUGCAUAAGGUUUCCAUUUGGAUGUUGUCUAGUGGUCAGUUUUGAAUGGUUAUUGCUAUCAUAUCAUUUCAUAUCAUAUCAUAUCAUAUCAUGUCAUGUCAUGUCAUAUCAUUUCAUAUCAUAUCAUAUCAUAUCAUAUCAUAUCAAUAUCCUGUGUUGUCUCAGGAAACUGUGUCUGCCCUAAGAGGCAAAGGUGUUCCUGGCCUUUGUUCUAGAAACAAAGUAGUUUUAGUUUUUCCACUCACAUCUAAGGUCCAUGUCAGACACACAUAUAUGUAUUUUGAGGUUGGACUUUGGGUCCUGGGCUGUCAUAUUGCUUCAGCCCUGUAUUGAAAAUCAAAUGUGUACGCAUGUGGACCCACUGCUGCACCCCUUCUGUUUACUGAGCUUCUGGGUCCUAUUCCACCCCAGCCUCCCCAGCCCCUGGAAGCUGACUGAGCCCUGACCAACCUUUAGCUUUGUUCUUCACUUCCAGGAUGGCUUUAGCUGCUUCAACCCUUUGCUUUCUAAACAUAAACUAUUCGUUUUCACAUUAGAAACCCAGAGUGGUUGAGAGGGGCUGUUGGUAAUACAGACACACAUCUUACCUAUGUUGAAUUUCCCAAUGCAGAGGAGUGGGUUGUGUCUCCUUAUUUAUUUAAACUCUUAACUUUGUUUUAGAGUUUUCAGGUGGAAAUCUUGUGUGCAGAACAUAUAUCCCUGAGAUUUCUUUCUUUCUUUCUUUCUUUCUUUCUUUCUUUCUUUCUCUCUUUCUUUUUCUUUUUCUUGAUGCAAUUACAAGUAGAAAAACUGAAUUGUUUUCCAGUUGUCUGCUGUUAAGAUAUGAAGCCAUAAACGAGCCAAAUGGGGUGGCCCACGCCUGUCACCUCAGUACUUGAGAGGCUGAUGCAGGAGGAUUGGGAUUUCAAGGUCCUGAGCUAUAAGGCAAGACCCUGUUUCAAAGCAAAAACAUAACAGACGUUAAAAAAAAUCAAGUGAUUUUUAAAAAUAUAACCAUGCAUCCUACAAAUUUAGUGGGUUUACUCAUCACUUCUGGUGUCCUGGACACGUGUAACCUGACACUCUUGCUGUGUGUGUUUCUUGGCUGUCAAGUGUUUCUUUCUCACGUCCACUGUUCUGCCUGGCACCAGAAGCAGAGGAUGUGUGACUAUGCUUGCCUUGUUCCCAACCUUAGAGGAGGGUGUCCAGUUUGCAUCUUUGUAGGUGUCCUUCAUCAGAUUAGAGAGGGUGGGUCCUGUCUUAGUGUUGAUUCUAUUGCUGACAUGAGACACCAUGACCACAGCAACUCUCCUAAAAGAAAGAGUUUACCCGUGGCUCCUGAAAGUUAGCUAAAAUGAACAGUUUCAGAAGUCUAGUCAUUUUUCAUCAGGAUGGGGAACAUGGUGCCAUGCAGGCAGAUAUAAUGCUGGCGAUGGAGCUGAGAGGUCUAACACCCAGAUUCGAGGGCAGCAGGAGGAAGGAAAAAGGAGCCUUUGAGCUUGGCUUGGGCAUCUCAAAGCCCAUCCCCAGUGAUAUACGUCCUCCACCAUACCCACUCCACCAUGGCCACCCUUCCUCAUCCUUCUAAGUAGUGCCAUCUGAUGACUAAGCAUUGAAAUAUGUGAGCCAAUAGAGGCUAUUCUCAUUCAGGCUACCACAGGUCCCAUUUAUGGUUCUCCUUCCCCUCUUCCUUUUCCUCCCAAAUAAGGUCUUUGAAUAUGAAAGAUUAUGCCAGGGUUUUACAACUAAAAACAGCACAGAUGCUUAUUUAUUCUUGUGGUAGUUUGAAUAGGAAUGGCCCCACAGACUCACGUGCUUGAAUGCUUGGCCCAUAGGGAGUGACACUAUCAGAGGUGUGACCUUAUUGGAAUAGGUAUGUCCUUGUUGGAGGAAGUGUGUUAUUGUGGAGAUGGGCUUAUAUGACCAAGUUAUGCCCAGUGAUAUGACUCCCUUCAGCUGCCUGCAGAUCAAGAUGUAGAACUCUCAGCGUUUUCUCCAGCACCGUGUUUGCCUGAACUCUGCCAUGCUUCCCACCAUGACGAUAAUGGACUAAACCUCUGACACUAAUCCAGCCCCGAUUAAAUAUUUUCUGUUAAGAGUUGCCUUGGCCAUGAUGUCUCUUCACAGCAAUUGAAACCCCAAUGCUGUUUUAAAGAGGCUAGUUGUCAGUUUAAUGAUGGGGAUGUGCUAAUCUAACAGUUGUCUCCUUUGCCUCUGUGUAGUGCUUGUUCCGAGGUGGGCAAGGCUGAGCCCAUACACAGGCUGGGCAGUACCCUCUAUGCAGUCUCCUCUUCAGGACCUGUUCUACCAAACUCUUCUACUGUAGCACUGUGCUUCCUGUAUCUCAAUACUUUAUGCACUAAGACUAUCUCCAUCAAAGUCUUAUCUAUAUAAAGUAGGUUAACUCUGGCCCGUCCUCAGCAAAGAGGGACUUGGCCAAGCUGUCGUUUCCCAUGGAUACCCAUGAUGCUUCUCCAAUCUUUGCUGUUGUUUCCCAGUAAACCUAGAGGUUUUUCUUCAUGAUUAUUUAGAGGUCAGAGUAUAGACAGGGUUAGCCUGUCUUCAGGAAGAGCCAGGAACAGGACCCUUUAGAUCUGAGAAAUUUCUCUGCUCAGAAAACGUUUGUUAUGUUAGAGUUGUUUUUUCUAUUUUAAAUGUUUGCAAGAUUUACAGUGACAUCAACUACCUGGAGUAAGUUUACAAUGAAGGGUUCAUUGUGCAACAACUUUAGCAGAUGUGAGGUUCUUCAUUUUGUCUGUUUAUCUGUCUGGGUUACUUUCUCAUACCCAGUUACACCAAGGGACACAGCCUGCACGUAGGGGCCUUUCUUUGCUGCUUCUGUCUGCAGGGUCAAUCAUGAGGUGGCUCAUUAGUUACUUCUUCAAGCUUUCCUUUUGGUAAUUACUUUCUUCUCUUUCACUCUUGCCAAGUUCUUCUAGGUUUUCUUCAGUUUUUCUGUUGUGUAUCUGUUUCCACAGCAUACAUUUCUAGGACUAACGUAUUUCCUUCCUUCUUAUUUCUUAAAAUUUUACUGGCUUUCCUAUCUGCUCUCCCAGGUAGAAGCUGAAAUGGCUAAUGUGACUCACAUUCUAGGAUCCAUAGUUAGAGCUCUAGAUCUGACCUUUAUGAGAACGACAAAGCAGAGAGAGUUAACAGGAAAUGGGGUGAGGCUGUGAACUCUCAAAGCUCUUCUAGCAGUGACCAGGGAAGGUACCUAAAGAUUCUAUCCCCGGGGGGGUUGAGGAUUUAGCUCAGUGGUAGAGCGCUUGCCUAGGAAGCGCAAGGCCCUGGGUUCGGUCCCCAGCUCCGAAAAAAAGAACCAAAAAAAAAAAAAAAAAGAAAAAAAAAGAUUCUAUCCCCAAUCAGUGACAUGAGCUGGGAAUCAAGUGUUAAACUAGCUGAAUAUGAGAGCUACUUCUCAUUCAAACCACUGCAAAAUUAUAGAUUAGCUAUGAGUGUGUAUAAGUGUGUGUGGCGGCAUAGAAUAACUUAUCUAUGUUAGAUCUGGAUGUGUAUAGUACAUGUGCACAAGGAGAUGGACACAAUUUCAGGUGUCAUUCCUCAGGUACAUCACCUUGUGUUUUAAGACUGGGUCUCUCAUCAGCCAAGAAUAUGGCAAGCAGGCUAGCCAGCCUGAGUGGCUGGUAAGACCCAAUGUUUUACUUCUCUUUGUUUCCCUGGUGCCACCACUACCAGUGUGUUUCACCAGGCACAGUCACCACACCCAGCUUUACAGACUAUAUUUUUGUUCUCUCUAUAGUUUAAGACAGGCAACUCCAUUCUAAAACACGGAUCUUAAGUUAGUACUUUUACUACUUCCAAAGUGAUUGAAGAAUCCUCUAAGAGGUCUUUGCUGUUUGCAUCUCCAUUUGAUGUUUAAAUGCCAUGCUGAUUUUUUUUAUACUUCUAUUACUGUAGAAAUAUCUUACGGUCAUUCUAAGUGACCAGCUUCUGAAACCUGCCCUGAAGGCUUUUCCCACAAAUCUCUGUCUGCUUGUAUGGCUUCAUCCUUCCUGCUAGUGUCCCACGGCUGACAUGCACGCCAUAAUGUCUUCAUACAUAGUGCUGACAUGACUUUUUCUGCUUUUUGUCUUUUUACAUGGUUCUUCCAUGGACUUAAAAAAAAAUCUCAUCAGCUAUUGAGUACCAGACUGGUGGCUUUCCUCUUUUCCUUCAAUUUUUAAGGGCAGACGUCCAUUGUCCUAUGACCCCAUAGUUUCAGUUGGGAGUCAGUCAUCUAUCUUUGUCCUUAUCUCCAUCGAAGAUCACCUGUGAUUUUUCUCUGGCAAACAUCAAGCUUCUCUUUGUCUUAUUCUACUUAUGUUUUAAUUUUCUUCCCUCCAUCCCUCCCUUCCUCUCUCCUUCCUUCUUUCUUUCUUUUUCUUUAUUUUUUCUGAAGGAGGGUCUUUCUCCAUAGCUCUACCUAUCCUGGAACUCACUGUGUAGACCAGCCUGGCCCCAAACACACAGAGAUUUUCUUGCCUCUGCCUCCUCCAGUGCUGGUAUUAAAGGGAUGUACUGCCAUGCCCUGAUUAUUGAUUUUUCUUGAAUCUGUGUGUUGAUAUCAUAAAGGACUAGGGAAAAAAACCCUAUCCACUCUUCCCCUAAACAUAGCUCUGCUCUGUCCCUGUCUCUUGUGGAUGCGUUGCUUGAGAUUUGGCCUGUUUGCGGAUUCUUCCUCAUUAUACUCUCUCUGAUUUUCUUCAUCUCUGUUUUCUCUGAUACCUGGUACUUUUCAUUGGCUUUUCAGUUAAUUUUAUUAAGUGGAAAUUUCUGGUUUCUUUGGAGACUCAGUUGUGUCAUGAGAUGUUGUUCUGGAAACUCUUAUGUGAGGAUAUUUUGCUGAAGCAAACAUCUGAUAGGGUGUUUUGCUGAGAACAGAUAUGUGGUGUUUUUCUGGAAGCUGUCUGGUAAAAGGGCAUGUGAUGUUUUGCUGGAGUCCAUGCUGAGAGGCCAUGUGAUGUUUGGAAAGGGUAUAAAAAUAACUCAACAGACAAUGGACGGACACUGCGUGGUAUUGGCUCACCUUGCCGCUCUUUGCUGGCCUUUCUUGGUCUUCGCUGAUGAUACUGUGGCAUUGGUUCACCUUGCUUCUUCACUGAACAUCAUCUGUCAGAGAGGAAGGCACCAAAGAACUUCUCGUGAUAUUCCAGUGGCUUCUUGCCACUGCCAGGAUUCAGGCUGAUUGGCAAAGACUCACGGUUUCUCCUGGAUGAAACUGCCAUUGCUGAUUCGUGAAUGGUGUUUGUGAGUGGACCAAGCUACCACUGCUGUUUCCUGUGAACUGAACUGCUGAUAUCCCAACAACAAAGACUGGAAUCACCCCAAAGAACUAUUUCUAAACAGAUCCACAUCCCCCUUUGCCCUAAUAACCUUUCUUUUCCACUGCCUCUGGUGGGCUGUGGGCUAGAAGGGAGGUUAAAGCAAUUAAGAAUCUUUAUUAAAGUAAGUUUUAUUUUAAAUAAAAUCAAAGCCUACAGUAUCAUUUUCAUAUAUAUUUGAACUCACCCAGUGGAUUACUAAAUUCCAGUAGGCUUUUAUUUGUAGAAAGUCUCCUGGGAACUUUCCUGUAAGAUUCUCAUUCUCCUUAAUUGUCCUUACAACAGUUCUUUUUGCUGUUGUUGAUUUCUUGAUUAUAUUUAGGGAGCAUUUUGAAGUUUUAACUUAAUGCAUUUGCUCUGAAGGCCUGUUUCUACCUUAUUUCUAUUACCUAAUUUUAUUGACUUUUUAAUAUUUCUUUACAUCUCUUGCAAAACCAUAGCAUCUUCUGAACGUGUGGCAGAGCUCACAAGUCUGGCAACGUCGUCAGCAGAUCUUUUUCAAAAGGUGCCUCCUCUCUCCUGACAGGUGGAUGGACUAUUCCAUGCCAGCUGGGACCUAAGCAUGCCUGGCUAAGACAUGCAGGGUGACACUGGCUAUGCUGUUUCUACCCAGAAGCCCUGCUGGCCAAUGCAUGUUCAGGAUAUAGCCAAUACAGCACGCUUGAGAAGACUCAGGAGAAACGACGAUGGAUCUUGAUGCUACAAUCUCCAGCUAGGCUGGUGUGGAGUGGGAGGUCUGCUCAGAGGCUGAUACCCCAGUGAUUCCUGGGAAAGACAAAGAGAAAAGCUCCCAGGGAGGCACUGGUUUGCCUGUGAACUUGACAGCAAUGCAGAGGGGGCAUUUCCUUGUUAUCAUCUGCCCAGAAAGAGCCAUCCAUCUCCCGGGCACGCAGCAUCUCUGUUUAAUAGCUGAUAGAGUGUCUCCAAAAGGCUGGUUUUGCUCUUUGUUUAAAAUGACAUAUAAUGGGGCUGGACUUAUCAGUGUCUCUAAAUGCAUUUUCUGUGCUCUGUCCCCACAGGGAGGGGGGCAGAUUUCGUCAAUUUUAAUGAAUAUGUGCAGGAUUGACUUUGAACUUGGUAUAAUUUAAUCCAUCAAUUUAACAUUCAAUGAAUAUGUAAAGGAAGCCACUCUGUGGAUGAAAAGCAGAAGGGACAUUCUUAUUAAUUUGAAAUGGACUUGAGGAACAACAUCUGCCACGGGCUAUGCUGGGCACCCAGGAAGCUGCCUGUGUCUGGAAACAACUGAAAGCUGUCUGGAGCCAUUCCAGAGCCCCUGCAGUGGCAGCUCCAACCUCGUGAGAAUGUAGAAGGUAGACUGGCUCAGCUGCAGAGCUCGAGGACACUUUGGCCAGAGCACCCUGGUACUGAGCUCCCGUUCAGAAGGGCAGGCCCUGUGGAGACUCCUGGAUAUAGGAUUCCUGUAAACCCCUUAAAGUGACACUGCAUACCUGGGCUAGAACCACUGACUCCAGGCUUCUUUAAUAGUCUGUCGGAACCUUUGCAGUGGUGGGGAGUGGGGAGGGGGCUGUAUAACGAAGGUGUGAGGAGAUAGAGGGCCUAGUGAAUUCUAGUUGCAGCUGGGGACGUGUGUGGAAUCCUCUCAAUUGCACACAGGUGUCCUGGACAUCGUGGGAGGUCAGAGAGAGCACGAGGCCUGGUUUGCAAGCAGAGGACCAGUUUGCAGUCUGGCUGGAAGCUUCCGUACCAGGAUGUUUAGGAGAUCUGAGAUCAAGCUAAUCAUCUGACCAGACUGGAUUUCAUCAGGAGGCACCAUCUGUUGAUGGAGAUUCGAAUCCUGACUCUGAGGUUCCAGAUUACCAAGAGUCGGACCUGAAGCAUGACUGCCCCAGCUUAGAGGUGAACACAACAGCGCCUUCUCUCAGUCCUCAAUCCCACGGCUCUGCUGUGACUUGCCGUGGGCCUUCAGAUCUUCCUGUGCCAUGGCAGGUAGCCCUUGAGGACAACCUGCAGCCACUGUUCUCUGAUACAUCAACCCAUGGGAUUCUGUCUCGUGUGGUGGUCUCAGCACAAGACCGUGUCAGGGAUUGUGAAAGAAAGACUGUGUCACUCCCCCCCUCCGAUUCCUGAGCUCUGCUUUCUGAUGCAUGGCCCAAUGCAGAGCUAAGCAGGAAGAGCGCUGCCAAACACGUCAGCAGAAGCUAUUAAAACCACAAGACACAGCCGUCAGGGGCAGCAGCAGAGAUGUCCGUGUUUCUUUUAGCUCCUGCUUGUUCUGUGCAAGCCCACUGGAAGCAUAGAAAUGGUGCCUGCCAUGGGAACCUACCCUUUGACUAGAAUGAUGACAGACUGACUUGUCCUCAAGGUCUCAAUGGAACGACCAUUGCUCUAGUGGAAGUGAGAGAAUGGGUGCUUCCCGAGCACCUUUUGUUUAAUUGAAGAAUCCUGGCUGUCUGAUGCAGCCCGGGAAGGCCAGGGUUGCUUCGUGCCUCUGCUCGGCCACUCUAUCCUUCUGUCUGUCAUUGAUCUAUGUGGCAUGAAAAUAAAGAAUGCAUACAAAACAUG